RNAcentral lists this unclassified non-coding RNA (253 nucleotides) under fungal sp. RNAcentral's name for it is "partial internal transcribed spacer region". The stretch from base 1 to 46 matches the Rfam family "Eukaryotic small subunit ribosomal RNA", at positions 1786 to 1831 of the family's 1831-position model. The record is from RNAcentral. Lineage: Eukaryota; Fungi.
AAGUCGUAACAAGGUUUCCGUAGGUGAACCUGCGGAAGGAUCAUUAAAGAAUUCGACCUCGCGGUCUUUUCUUCUCCCACAGCUGUGCGCUUCGGCUGCACGCCGUGGGAUAAACCUCACACACCCCCGUGCACACUUCGGUCGCGGACGGCCUCACGGUCGAACGCUUCCGCUUUUACAUACAACUACCGCAGUCUCGAAUGUCAGAUACCAUAAACAUUAACAACUUUCAACAACGGAUCUCUUGGCUCUC